RNAcentral lists this ribosomal RNA (496 nucleotides) under uncultured bacterium. RNAcentral describes it as "partial 16S ribosomal RNA". It matches the Rfam family "Bacterial small subunit ribosomal RNA", at positions 28 to 506 of the family's 1533-position model. The record is from RNAcentral.
GAUGAACGCUGGCGGCGUGCCUAAUACAUGCCAGUCGAGCGAACGGACGAGAAGCUUGCUUCUCUGAUGUUAGCGGCGGACGGGUGAGUAACACGUGGAUAACCUACCUAUAAGACUGGGAUAACUUCGGGAAACCGGAGCUAAUACCGGAUGAUAUUUUGAACCGCAUGGUUCAAAAGUGAAAGACGGUCUUGCUGUCACUUAUAGAUGGAUCCGCGCUGCAUUAGCUAGUUGGUAAGGUAACGGCUUACCAAGGCAACGAUGCAUAGCCGACCUGGGAGGGGACUGGGCCAACCGGAAACUGGGCACGGGCCCAAACUCCUAGGGGAGGCAGCAGGAGGGAAUCUGCCGAAAGGGGCGAAAGCCUAACGGAGCAACGCCGCGGGGGUAAGGAGGGUUUGGGGAUUGUAAAACUCUUUUAUUGGGGAAAAACAAAUGUGUAAAUAACUGUGCACCUUUGGACGGUCCCAAAGAAGAAAGCCACGGCAAACUACGG